AAUGUCUGGGAAACUGCCUGAUGGAGGGGGAGUAACUACUGGAACGGUAGCUAAUACCGCAUAACGUCGCAAGACCAAAGAGGGGGACCUUCGGGCCUCUUGCCAUCAGAUGUGCCCAGAUGGGAUUAGCUAGUAGGUGGGGUAACGGCUCACCUAGGUGACGAUCCCUAGCUGGUCUGAGAGGAUGACCAGCCACACUGGAACUGAGACACGGUCCAGACUCCUACGGGAGGCAGCAUG
This 240-nucleotide ribosomal RNA is filed under the name uncultured bacterium. RNAcentral's name for it is "partial 16S ribosomal RNA". It matches the Rfam family "Bacterial small subunit ribosomal RNA", at positions 112 to 353 of the family's 1533-position model. The record is from RNAcentral.